AACGCUAGCUACAGGCUUAACACAUGCAAGUCGAGGGGCAGCAUUUUAGUUUGCUUGCAAACUAAAGAUGGCGACCGGCGCACGGGUGAGUAACACGUAUCCAACCUGCCGAUAACUCGGGGAUAGCCUUUCGAAAGAAAGAUUAAUAUCCGAUAGUAUAUUAAAACCGCAUGGUUUUACUAUUAAAGAAUUUCGGUUAUCGAUGGGGAUGCGUUCCAUUAGUUUGUUGGCGGGGUAACGGCCCACCAAGACUACGAUGGAUAGGGGUUCUGAGAGGAAGGUCCCCCACAUUGGAACUGAGACACGGUCCAAACUCCUACGGGAGGCAGCAGUGAGGAAUAUUGGUCAAUGGACGAGAGUCUGAACCAGCCAAGUAGCGUGAAGGAUGACUGCCCUAUGGGUUGUAAACUUCUUUUAUAUGGGAAUAAAGUAUUCCACGUGUGGGAUUUUGUAUGUACCAUGUGAAUAAGGAUCGGCUAACUCCGUGCCAGCAGCCGCGGUAAUACGGAGGAUCCGAGCGUUAUCCGGAUUUAUUGGGUUUAAAGGGAGCGUAGGUGGAUUGUUAAGUCAGUUGUGAAAGUUUGCGGCUCAACCGUAAAAUUGCAGUUGAAACUGGCAGUCUUGAGUACAGUAGAGGUGGGCGGAAUUCGUGGUGUAGCGGUGAAAUGCUUAGAUAUCACGAAGAACUCCGAUUG
This 695-nucleotide ribosomal RNA is filed under the name uncultured bacterium. Its description in RNAcentral is "bacterial SSU rRNA". It matches the Rfam family "Bacterial small subunit ribosomal RNA", at positions 32 to 715 of the family's 1533-position model. The record is from RNAcentral.